This is a long non-coding RNA of Spinacia oleracea (spinach), 2005 nucleotides long. RefSeq lists it as uncharacterized. The transcript has 3 exons. NCBI's taxonomy places the organism in Eukaryota, Viridiplantae, Streptophyta, Magnoliopsida, Caryophyllales, Amaranthaceae. The record is from RefSeq and is a predicted model, not a curated record.
CACGUACUGCACUUUCCUUUCCUUUCUUAUUAUCCUGGAGAGAGAAAAAUGUAGAGUUUCUUUACGUAGUUAGGGUUUCAUCAAAACCUUGGCCAAGUUUAACAAUUUUGGUCUGCGAUUCACAAUUAGGCUCGACCUUAAUUCGAAAUUCUUGCAAUUCUCUGGGAAAUUCAAACGCGAAAUCAUCUGCGAAAUUCCCUCUCACGUCGUUGCUUGAAAUAGUGUGUUCAUCGAGUUGGAGGGUUGAAUUGGGGCUUUGCAUUCGAACAAGUUAGGAUGAGAAAUUCACGAUGAAAGCCAAUAAGGCCAUCUUUCCUAGUCCACACCAUCAGGUUAGAGUUUCAGAAUAUGAAAGAAUGCGGAUGGAGAAUUUGAAAAUGAAUGUGGACAGAAUGACUGCUAAAGGUGUCGGGUUCUUAGCUAAGAAAAUACUACAAGAAAAACUUCAUGUUUCGGGUUUUCCAAAUGGAAAUGGCAAUAAACUGGUGGAAUAACCAGAUGAUGAGUCAACAUCUGAGUAUGAUGGAGGCUGUAAUGAGGAUGAAACUACUAGCAACAUGGAAAUUGAAAUUUUCACCCGUCAUAAAAAAAAGGUAAUGGUUAUUGGGUGUCUCUGCCAGGUCAUCACAUUGUUCUAGCACAAGCCAGUCCCAAGUCCAUUUUUUUCUUUACGAAAAUCCAGCAGUUGCGUGUAUUCCGUUUCCCAGGCUCCUUCAAUUACACAUGAUGGGUAGCAUCUUCAGGCACCAUUCCAGCAGACUGUCAAUAAACACUCCCUUCUCUUUUCAUUUAUUUCCUUCCCUCAAAGACUUCAAUAGAACUUGUUUCAACUGAUGGUACAGUGCACAGAGGUAAUAUUAGUUUUCUAUCGGCUAAACUGUGUUGGCACUUGUUUCAACUGAUGUCCAAACAGGAAAAAAUGAGGACAAAAGUCAAACAUUCUUGCUCAAAACAUUCUUGAUCAGGUAGGACUAGGAUCUGCCCAUCUAGUGAAACAUGGUCAUCAAAAGAAAUGAGACGCUGGGAUCCAUAUAGUCUAUACCUCUCAUAUUCUGCGAAUAAUAUGCUUUAUAUGACUCUUACAGUCUAACCUCUAUUCUGGCCUCCCUCUUCAGAAAUCCAAUUCUAGUAGUUUUUUUGGUUUAUGCAGUUUUACAUUUUGGACUUCAGUUAUCAUGUGUGCUUAAUUUAACCAUAAUAUUACAGAACCAACGCAAUCAAUGAUCUGAAACUAAGAGGUUGACAAUCUACAGAACCAUACUAUUACAUUUUUUACUUCAGUAUUCAUAUGUGCUUUGGUAAUACAAUCUGCAAGUUUUAUACCUACAUUUUAGGUCUUGUUUCUUUCUUUUCUGAAUAUUUAGCCUCUGAUAAUGUAUAGCUCCUGUAUAGAUCCUGCAAAUAUGUGCUUUCUGUAGCUAAAAACUGCAUUUCCAGGUUAGAUAUACUUAUACAAAUUCAUUUUUUGAGCAGAUACCAUUUUUCGACCUGAGAGGACAUAGCUGCAAGAAUCUGCUUGUCACAAGAUCACAAAAUUUUUCUAGAUUGUAAAUUUAUAAAGUUUUAACGUCUCUACUCAUGCUUUAAGGCUCCCACUACUGUAGUCUGUAGAGUAGAUAUUACGUUUGGUGAUGGAUUGAAGUUGUGGUCUUUUGCAGGCUAUUUCUCUUUCAGAAUACAGUUUUAAGUUCACAUUAUUGAUCGUGUUUUGGCUAGUGUACCAUCUUUAACUUAUGCCCAUUCGUGAUUUAAACUUGCAGGAGCAUGGGGGAGCUAAAUGGAUAAGAAGUGUAGAUCUAGCAAUGAGACGGUGGUGGCUCUUGUUAGCUUUGGGUCGUUUUGUGAUUUCUAGUAACGUUGAAUUUGUUUCUAUGGAUUUUAAUUUUAGUACGGCAUUAAAAACACUAAAUUAAUUAGUGAACAACUAUUUUGUAAUGCAUAUGUUCUAUGGGCACUAAAAUUGCAAUAUUACUCUUCAAGUCAAUGAAAAUAUUUUUGUUAUUGA